GGGGGCAAGAGGUUCGACUCGAGCGAAGCGAGAGAACGUUGCGUCAGCAACGGCCCGCAGGGCGAGCCACGCAGUGGCGAGUCAUCCUCUAUCACCGACCA
RNAcentral lists this small RNA (101 nucleotides) under Salmonella enterica. RNAcentral describes it as "partial RtT sRNA". It matches the Rfam family "RtT RNA", at positions 31 to 130 of the family's 130-position model. From Rfam's summary of the family: This family represents a bacterial cis-regulatory element known as RtT RNA. The record is from RNAcentral. RNAcentral also lists the same sequence under 2 other names. Lineage: Bacteria; Pseudomonadati; Pseudomonadota; Gammaproteobacteria; Enterobacterales; Enterobacteriaceae.